UUCAAAACCAAGAGCAAACAGUUAUAGAAUCUACGGAUAUCUUCAAGAGCUUUUUUUUCCCUCAAGUGGUUAAGAACAACUAUUGAAAGCUCCCCAGAAACUGAACCUGCUGUCAGGCACUGAAGGAGCAACACAAAGAAGAUUGAGAUUGAAAACAACACCUAUCAUUGGACAUAUCUUGCUGUGAAUCUAAGGAGAAAGAAGGCUACUGUGGAAUGGAACGAACAUCAUUAACAGACAUCUAUCGAGACCUCUGAAGUGCUGGAUGGAGUUCAAGCUUCCAGAGAUACAGGAGUCAAUGAAGAGUAGAGACUGGGAGGUGAGAUCUGGCCAGCUGGAUGCUGAGAACAUGAGGAUGUGAGUACCCAAAGAGUUCUGGAUAGAGACCUGACCAGAAAAUUGGACUUGAGAUGCUGCCUUUCCACAUAAUGUUGCAACCCUGGGAUACUGGCACUGGAAGAAACUCUAGAAAUUACCUGGACGUAGUCCUUCAUUUUAUGGAAAUGGAGGCUCAGAGAAAUAAACUGAAUUGGUCAAAGACACACAGACAAUUUUUGGAAGAGCUGGUCCUAGAACUUGGGUUACUUCUAUGAUGAUAUGAUUUCUAGUUUUCCUAAGUUUCUCCUUGGGUAGGUGUACCUGGGUUUUCAGAGACAUGAUGAAUGAAAUCAUUAAAAAAAUACAGCAUUUCUACUCCUUGUAAUCUCAGGGAAUGAUUAUCCCAUCUAUGAAUAAUUGUCCCAUCUUUAUCCAUUUCUUCUACUUAGCCCUUUGCCCUCUUGUGCUUUGCUUUUUGCUUUGGGGGCAAAAAGCCCCCACCUAUGAAUGAUUGUCCCACAUCUAUGAAUGAUUGUCCCAUAUUUGUCCAUUUCUUCAACUUAGCUCUUUGGCUGUUGUGCUUUGCUUUUUGCUUUGGGGGCUUUUGUUUAUUUGGUUUUGGAUUUUUGAUAUUUUGUUUGAUCACACCAUUAUUCAAACCCAAAGACACGUUCAGGGAGUAGGAAAGAAAACUCAACCCACACAGUACUGGGUCCAUCACAGAGGUGUAUUAAAUAUUUAUGGACUUCAACCAAACAAUAUCUUUACUGGUCAGUACUUAAGAGCAAGAUGAGGAAUAAGGUUGAAAUUAUUUCCUAAGAAGAGGGGGUUUAUGUUUUAGUUAUCCAUUCUGUUCACACAUGUGAGGAAGACGGGAUACUGUAGUAGUUAAAAGGGCAGCUUGCUUCAAAGCUAGCCAAAGCUGAGUUUGAAUUCCUGCUCCAUUGUGAGUACCAGUGGAAGUCGCUAGGAGUUUUAAGAAAUGACCUGUUUCCAGACAGCAACUGGAAGCUGUGUAGGGAAAGGAUCAGAGAAACAGACUGAAGACAAAGAAACAGGCAGAGACCCUGGCAAAAGGCAGGUUGAGGGAUGACAAUCAAGCAUAUUGUUCUUUCUUGUUAGCAAGAACCACCAAAAAUUGGCGAUAAUCGCCACGCCAAAUUAUUUCCACCUGGUGAAGGUUGCAAUUGUAAAUUAGUUCAAACAUUGUGGAAGACAGUGUGGUGAUUCCUCAAGGAUCUGAAACCAGAGAUCCCAUUUGACCCAGCAAUCCCAUUACUGGGUAUAUACCCAAAGGAUUAUAAAUCAUUCUACUAUAAAGACACAUGCACAUGUAUGUUUAUUGCAGCACUAUUCACAAUAGCAAAGAUUUGGAACCAACCCAAAUGCCCAUCAAUGAUAGACUGGAUAAACAAAUGUGGCACAUAUACACCAUGGAAUACUAUGCAGCCAUAAAAAGAAUGAGUUCAUGUCCUUUGCAGGGACAUGGAUGAAGCUGGAAAUCAUCAUUCUCAGCAAACUAACACAAGAACAGAAAACCAAACACUGCAUGUUCUCAUUCAUAAGUGGGAGUUGAACAAUGGGAACACAUGGACACAGGGAGGGAAACAUUACACACCGGGGCC
Molecule: long non-coding RNA, 1943 nt
Filed under: Homo sapiens (human)
Lineage: Eukaryota; Metazoa; Chordata; Mammalia; Primates; Hominidae
Description: HSALNT0069778
Source: RNAcentral